This 202-nucleotide long non-coding RNA is filed under the name Elaeis guineensis (African oil palm). Its description in RNAcentral is "long non-coding RNA (EGUI_LNC067338)". Lineage: Eukaryota; Viridiplantae; Streptophyta; Magnoliopsida; Arecales; Arecaceae. The record is from RNAcentral.
UCAUUUGGAUGCUCUAGGGAUCUCAAAGGAGGUCCCUUUAAAUAGGCACAAGGAUUGAAUCCUAUUCAAUCACAUAAUAUAAGUCCUACUUGCAUUGGAUUUCCUAUUAACUUAAGUUAUUCAACUUACUUUAGAAGACCCUUUAGAUGCCAACAAUUGGAGCUCUUGUACCCAUAAUUAGAUAUCCCAAAACACACCCAAA